AUUGAACGCUGGCGGCAGGCCUAACACAUGCAAGUCGAGCGGUAGAGAGGUGCUUGCAUCUCUUGAGAGCGGCGGACGGGUGAGUAAUGCCUAGGAAUCUGCCUGUGGUGGGGGAUAACGUUCGGAAACGGACGCUAAUACCGCAUACGUCCUACGGGNGAAAGCGGGGGAUCUUCGGACCUCGCGCCAUUAGAUGAGCCUAGGUCGGAUUAGCUAGUUGGUGAGGUAAUGGGCUCACCAAGGCGACGAUCCGUAACUGGUCUGAGAGGAUGAUCAGUCACACUGGAACUGAGACACGGUCCAGACUCCUACGGGAGGCAGCAGUGGGGAAUAUUGGACAAUGGGCGAAAGCCUGAUCCAGCCAUGCCGCGUGUGUGAAGAAGGUCUUUCGGAUUGUAAAGCACUUUAAGUUGGGAGGAA
Molecule: ribosomal RNA, 420 nt
Filed under: uncultured bacterium
Lineage: Bacteria
Description: bacterial SSU rRNA
Rfam family: Bacterial small subunit ribosomal RNA
Source: RNAcentral